Molecule: small nuclear RNA, 103 nt
Organism: Vulpes vulpes (red fox)
Lineage: Eukaryota; Metazoa; Chordata; Mammalia; Carnivora; Canidae
Source: Ensembl
AGAUCAUGAUGAACCUUGUGCUAAAAUUGGAAUGAUAUAGAGAAGAUUAGCAUGGCCCCAGCACAAAGAUAACACACAAAUUCAUAAAUCGUUCCAUUGGUUC